CAUCGCUCCGCCACUUCACGCUCCCCUCCCUGGUGUCUCCUGAACAGCUGAUCGUCAGUGAGUAGGAGGUACUGGUGGGGAGGGGGAGGAGCUGAUUGGUGGAGCUGAUGACAGUUGAUCAGUGGGUGGCUGGAGGGAGCUGAGCACCCACUUUUUUUUCUGUGGGUACUCCAACAUUGGAGCACCCACAGAGUUGGCACCUGUGCUUGUAACUGUAUAAGAUCAGAAGAAAUGGCACAAGUUGUUAUCUUUACAGAGGGGAGACUCCUGCUGCAAGGUGUCUCAUGAAGGGUGGAUCCCAGAUUUCUGAACUGGACAAGCGCUGUAAGAAUUAACCAUGGGUUGUCUUCACGUCUGUCUGUAGGAGAGAGGUCUGCCUAAGAAUGAAGGGAAGAAAGAUUUGUUUUCCUCAAACACAUUCUUUUAGCAGCAUGGUGUGAAAAGAUGGAGUGGACACUCAGAGGUGGGGAAUGGAUGCAUAGAGAGACAAGUGACUUCCCAAGAUCACACAGGAAGUCUGUGAUGGAACAGGGACUUGAUCCCUGGUCUCCAAAUCAUAGGCAGCCACUGGACCAUCCUGCCUCUCUCUGUUUACAUGUGUAACUGUCCACAGUUUUAGACUGAAGCAAAACGAGUAAGAUUUGUACAUACCCAGUCAUCCAAUGUUAUCAGUCAUUCACUUUACACUCAACAACAUAAACUAAAGAGUAAGGUCCCAGUCAGCUGAAACGUCAGGUGAGAUUAGUAAGAAGAGACCAAUUAGAAUUCCAAUCUGCUAUAAUAUUAAUAGAUUCUUAGAUUCCAAGGCCAGAAGGAACCUCUGCGAUCCUCUGACCUCCUGUAUAACACGGGCCAUAGAACUUCCCCAAUAUAAUUCCUAGAGAAAAUCUUUUAGAAAAACAUCCAGUUUUGAUUUUAAAAUUGUCAGUAAUUGAGAAUCCACUACGACCUUUGGUAUUCCAACGGUCAAUUACCCUCAUUGUCAAAAAUUUAUGCCUUAUUUCUAAUCUGAAUUUUGUCUAGCUUCAACUUGCAGCCAUUGUAUUGUUGUACCUUUCUCUGCUAGAUUGAAGUGCCCAUUAUUAAAUAUUUAUUGCCAUGUACAUACUUACAGACAAUAAUCAAGUCACUCUUUAACCUUCACUUUGUUAAGCUAAAUACAUUGAGCUUAGUCUAAGGUAUGUUUUCUAAUCCUUUAAUAAUUCUUGUGGCUCUUC
Molecule: long non-coding RNA, 1217 nt
Organism: Mauremys reevesii (Reeves's turtle)
Lineage: Eukaryota; Metazoa; Chordata; Testudines; Geoemydidae
Exons: 4
Source: RefSeq, a predicted model, not a curated record